This 305-nucleotide ribosomal RNA is filed under the name uncultured bacterium. RNAcentral's name for it is "partial 16S ribosomal RNA". It matches the Rfam family "Bacterial small subunit ribosomal RNA", at positions 505 to 809 of the family's 1533-position model. The record is from RNAcentral.
ACAGCAGCAGCCGCGGUAAGACAGAGGUGCCAAGCGUUAGGCGGAAUCACUGGGCUUAAAGCGUGUGUAGGCGGAUGCCUAAGUACCUUGUGAAAUCCCACGGCUCAACCCGAAGCCUGCACGAGAAACUACCGGGCUUGAGUAUUGGAGAGGUGAGUGGAAUUUCCGGUGUAGCGGUGAAAUGCGUAGAUAUCGGAAGGAACACCUGUGGCGAAAGCGGCUCACUGGACAAUAACUGACGCUGAUGCACGAAAGCUAGGGGAGCAAACAGGAUUAGAUACCCCAGUAGUCCCUGUCUCUUAUAA